RNAcentral lists this long non-coding RNA (882 nucleotides) under Linum usitatissimum (flax). RNAcentral's name for it is "long non-coding RNA (LUSI_LNC004565)". The record is from RNAcentral. Lineage: Eukaryota; Viridiplantae; Streptophyta; Magnoliopsida; Malpighiales; Linaceae.
UGCUACCUGGGGUUAGGGCGAGAACUCUCCCACGUUUGGGACUUCCGUCCAGCCGUCAGCUGCACAAAACCAGCAGCUAGCCAUCACAAAUCUCAGCCAAAACCCCCGAUAUCCAAACUCGUUCUCAAGCAACACUCAAUCAAUCAUCUACCGCUACCCUCCUACCCCUGAAACCAAUCCCUAAAGGUCUUCGAUCGUCGAGUCCAUAGCUGCAGAUUUUGGGGACCAAUCUGACCAGGCGAUCAAAGAAAACAAUGCGGAGGCCGACAUCGCAACUCUCUGUGUACGCGAUCUCUCGUUAGAGGACAAGCAAUCAGAGAAAUCAUCACUGGUCAAUGUACGAGUGGAACAGACGGGUUUACCCUCGACAACCCGCCCGGCAACAUAAAUCUUUCCAGGGGUUGUGGAUACUAAAUCAUCUUCGACAACUUCCUCCCCUGCGGCUGGUCUAACUUUGGUGUCUUAUCUCUUGUUUUGUUUCUCGUCGAACUAUGUUUAUGUAGCUGUUAAUUAGUAUUUUUAUUUUGUUUGUUGGUCAGAACCAAUUUUGUUGGUUCCUUGAGUUAUAUUAAAUGAGUUACGAUAUUGAGGAGCGUUAGGAUAUACAGUUGAUUAAUUAUAUAGUUAAUUGUUUUUCCCGUUGUAAUUUCUAUACAUUGUACUUUUUGGAUUACCAACCAUGGCAUAAUAUAAAGGUUAUUUAUUGUAAAAAAAUUAUAAUUUAAUAAUUAGUAUUAGAGUAUUAGAAUAAUUAGUUAAGUAUUAGAAUAUUAAAAUAAUUAAAAAAGGAGUGGCGCCAUUAACUGGUGUAGCUUUUUUUUUGCUCCGCUGAUCCAAUUGCGGCGGCAACAGGAAGGCGGUGGAGGUGGGGGGGACGACCGG